Molecule: long non-coding RNA, 1376 nt
Organism: Myzus persicae (green peach aphid)
Lineage: Eukaryota; Metazoa; Arthropoda; Insecta; Hemiptera; Aphididae
Exons: 7
Source: RefSeq, a predicted model, not a curated record
ACCCGCCGACGUCGUGUGUGUCCGCUGUCCGCGACACGUUGUCUUAUCUUUGUAAUUGACGUUCGCUCCUCGCGACCUUUGCGGCGUCGGCUUGUGAGUCGAGCGGUGACCAUCUUUUAUCGUGUUUGACGAUUUCAUUGUCGUAUUUGCCCCGCACUCUUUGUCCCUGAGCACUAAACAGUCGGGUCAACAUUCAACUAUGGAAAGAACAAACGUAAUAACAAACAUGUAUAACAUAAUUUAUUAUCAUUCAACACGUGCUUUGCGCCUUGACGCCUUGUGUGUCUUCACUUGAACGUUGGUGGUCGGCUUAAGUUGUGUAUGUCGUCGUAAUCACUACCUUAGUCCUAUGUACGAUGGACAUGAUGUAAUCAAGUAAAUAACAUGAUAUGAUGGAACUUUUGUUGGUCAGAUAUUUAGAUUUCAUAAACAUUCACAUUGGUUCAUUAAGGUUACUGCAUAGUGCAAUGUCAAGAUAUAAACGUCAGAAUCAACCAGUGACUCCUCAGUGACUACAUUUCAUUUGCAGUUGACUGAAGAAUAUGCACACGUAUUCAUGAUAAGUAAUUGUGGCAUUAUUAGUACAGUUCCGAAUGAAGGAAUCAUUUUGUUUUUUAUACUGCCUGGAGUCAAAAAGUAUGCUAUCUUAUUAUACAAUUAUUUUAGUCUACUUAGGAUUGGAUCAAUGUUUUUGUUGGAUUGCAAUUUUUCAAGUGUACCAUCUUUUAAAAACAAAUGUCGCUAUGUGCACUACGUUUAAUACUGUAUUUUCAUUAGAGUUUGCGUUAAUGUCAAAGAAAAACGAAAGAGCAUACAAAACAGUUUUCAAUAAGAUGAUAAGUCUAAUACCUGAGUGGCAACCGUUGAUUACUAUAGUUAACAUGGUUCAGCUAUAGCUUCUAUUAGAAUGUUGUUUCCGAUUACCAUAAUUAGAAUAUGUUGGUUUCAUCCAUCCCAAGCUGUAUGGAAGAAAGUUGUAAACAUAGGUUCAAAGGAAUUUGAGUGACAAAUACCGUACAAUGAUAGCUCAAAUUGUUCCAGUACAAAUUCCAUUAAAGGUGUGCCAAAAAUAAAGACCAAUGUUGAUGUCGGCUGCCAAAGUGCUACUGCUCCUGCAGGCUAAAACUAUUCCAAUGGACCAGUAUCCAAACUUGAGGAAUGUGGCCCGAGCCCUACUGUGAAGACAAUGGCCAUAGACAAAGAUUAAAAUGAGAUAACCAUUGCUGUGUGGAACUGUCGUCCUGGUGGAAGGUCACAAUGUGUUUGUUUGUCGAUCAUCUUGGCAGUAUCAACAUAGGCAACACCAUGAUAUAAGGAAUACAACAUGUUAUAAAUAUUCAUAUUUGAAAAAUAAAAUGAAAUACUUAAUGUAUUAA